CAGCGGCUGAUCUUGUCUCCUCGCGUCCAGCGCUGGUUCAGGAGUUUCCCCCGGUACUCAUUUUCUGACUGAAAAAAAUAAUAAUCCCGAAAGCUUCUCCGCCAGACGCUUCUCUCGUCUUCGUCGUGUAUUCAGUAAGUUGUGAGACAGUUUUGGGUAAAAUA
Long non-coding RNA from Sinocyclocheilus rhinocerous, 164 nucleotides. RefSeq lists it as uncharacterized. The record is from RefSeq and is a predicted model, not a curated record. NCBI's taxonomy places the organism in Eukaryota, Metazoa, Chordata, Actinopteri, Cypriniformes, Cyprinidae. The transcript is spliced from 3 exons.